CAGGAACAGAAAUGCCCUGGGGAAUGAGGAUUGAGCCUUCAAUUCUGUCCAGUGCAGGGUCAGAGGGGAGGUGACAUCUUCCGCCAGGUCUCCUCUUUACAGGACAGGAAAGGAGGAGUCUCAGGCAUUCGGCACAGCACGUGCAAAGGCCAAGAGGCAUACAUUGGCAAGAAGUGCCCCUGGGAUGCAGGGUGCUUGGAGGAAGGAGGUGGUGUGGGUGUGAACCGGAAGAGUCCUGGUGGGGUCAGACCAGGGAGAGAAAGAAAAGGGAGCAACACUCAACAAAGGACAGGAGUGCCAUUGGGACCCCUUCACGCUAGCCACCAUGCUUGCUCCCAAAUCAGCCUAUUUAUUGACUCCAUGCCUCUUUGUUGAAUACCUACUAUGUGCUAGGCAUUGUUACAGGUUCUGCUCCAGAAUUAUACACCAGGGAACAAGAUGGACAAACCCUGUUCUCACAGAGCUGACUUGCAGGUGACAUUGCUCAGGACAAGGAAGAGAGAGAACAAAUCAAGGUCGGAGAGGUUGAGUAUCUCGGGUGAAGUCACACUCUGGUGAAUAGUACAGCCAGGAUUCCUUUUUAUUUAGUCCUGGGGAUUGAAGCCAGAGGGGCUCUACCACUAAGCUACAUCCCCAGCCCUUUUUACUUUUUAUUUUUGAGACAGGGUCUCGCUGAGUUGCUGAGGCUGGCCUUGAAAUUGAGAUCCUCCUGCCUCAGCCUCCAGGAUUCUAAUCCUGUUUCUGCUGCUAAUAGCAGUGCUCUUAUUGCCCCGCCAUGCUGCCCUGUGUCUGGCUAAGGAGUUUGGACUUUGUCCGAAAGUCACAGGUAUCAGCAGAGUCGUGGGAGAGGGGGACACAGGGUCAGAUGUGCACUUUAGGAAUGGAAUGUGGUGGAGGAGGGAUGAUACUGGGGAGAUGGCCUAAGUAUAGAUGCUUCUUAGAUUUAUCACAGCUACCACCUCCUCCUCCACGAAUCACGUCCCUCCUUGCCCAGGUUUAUUUUCAAUGCAGUGACCAGAGAAAGACUUUACAAGCCCAAGUCUGAUUACGACACUGAUCUAAUCAAAAUGGGCCAAUGGCUUUCUGCAGGACUCUGUCUUCCAUGGACUGAACUCCUGUCACUCUUGUCCCAUUUUGCUCAACCACAGAAGUUUUGCUUUUUUCUUUUGAACAUGUCAAGGAUAUUCCUGCCUCAGGGCCUUUGCAUGUACUAGUCCCUCUGUCUUGAAGCUUAUUCCCCAGAUAUCAAGAUUAUACACCCCUUGCUGUCUUUUUUGAGGUGUCUGUUCUAACAUCAACCUUAUCAGAAAGCCUUCCCUCCCCACCUCCAUUAUUCUCUAUUCUCCUAAACUACCCAAUUUUUCUUGCUGACCCUUAUCAUCAUCUGACAGGCCAAGCAUUUGGGUAUCCGUGGCUCACUGUCUGUCUGCUACCCUAAUGAAGAAAGGGACUCUUGGUUCACUUCUUUAUCCUCAGUACCUAGAAUCAUAAUGGGCCAAGGUAAGCCCUUCGUUAAUAUUGUUGAGUGCAUUAGCCUCCUCGAGGAGGUAGGAAAGAAUGUUUUUAUAUUUCUUCCUACCCUCUGUUUAGCUCAGUGAAGCCACCAGCCGCUUCCUUGCAGCUGAUUGGAGGUCUCCUCCCACGUGGCCCAGAACAUCCUGCAUGUGAUCUAUCCACUCUGGGGACUUUCUGGGGGGCCACUCUUCCCAGGGUGGCACCGGGUUGUUGUUUUCUGUUCUGGAGUCCUGCCAGUGCUUUCCCGGUUGAUGGGAAUUUACCACAUUUCAGUUUCUUUUUUGAAUAAUAAAGUCUCCUCAUGAACCCUUGUUGUUCCUUCCCUUAGGAGGAAGCUAUCUUGUUUUUCAGUUUGAAGUUCAGGGCAGAGAAAACACGGUGGAUGGAAGGGCUGCCAGUCAUCCCGUUGCCCCGCCCCCUUCACAUGUACACAAAGGAAGGAGGAAAAGAAGGAACGUGCAAGGAACUUAGAGCUGAAAUCUCCAAAAGGAAUCAAGAAUGUCAGUGUUGGAGGGUCGUACAGAUCAUCUCCUCUCCCACUGGUUGUCCCCCUACUAUGGUGGAUACCCCAAUGGAUGCUCUUCCCCAGGGGACCCCUCUGCCAUCACAAUUACUAAAUGAAGGACAUAAGUGGCAGGAAAACUUAGCCUGGGUUAUUUCAGUGGAAUCCUGGUAGGUGACACCAAUUCUAUUAAUAAAAUUCUUG
RNAcentral lists this long non-coding RNA (2221 nucleotides) under Marmota monax (woodchuck). Lineage: Eukaryota; Metazoa; Chordata; Mammalia; Rodentia; Sciuridae. The record is from RNAcentral.